RNAcentral lists this unclassified non-coding RNA (213 nucleotides) under plant metagenome. RNAcentral's name for it is "partial contains small subunit ribosomal RNA, internal transcribed spacer 1, and 5.8S ribosomal RNA". The record is from RNAcentral.
UUUCCGUAGGUGAACCUGCGGAAGGAUCAUUAAAAAUGAAGCCGGGAAACCGGUCCUUCUCAUCCUUGAUUAUCUCAAUUUGUUGCUUUGGUGGGCCGCGCAAGCACCGGCUUCGGCUGGAUCGUGCCCGACAGAGGACAACAACUCUGUAUUAUAUGUCGUCUGAGUACUAUAAAAUAGUUAAAACUUUCAACAACGGAUCUCUUGGUUCUG